CAAUAGCAUAUAUUAACGUUGUUGCAGUUGAAAAGCUCGUAGUUGAACUUUUGGUAGGAGCGACCUGGCCUUGGGCGCAUGCCCUUGUUUGCCGUGUGUCGUAUCUGGCCAUCCUUUUCUUCUUUUUGGAAGGAAUCUUUUACUGUGAGUAAACUGGAGUGCUCAAAACAAGACGUUUGUUUGGUACAUUAAAGCAUGGAAUAAUAGGAUAGGACCUGGUUACUAUUUUGUUGGUUUGCAUAGCUAGGUAAUGAUUAACAGGGACAGUUGGGGGUAUUCGUAUUUAAUUGUCAGAGGUGAAAUUCUUGGAUUUAUGAAAGACGAACGACUGCGAAAGCAUUUACCAAGGAUGUUUUCAUUAA
RNAcentral lists this ribosomal RNA (362 nucleotides) under uncultured eukaryote. RNAcentral's name for it is "partial 18S ribosomal RNA". It matches the Rfam family "Eukaryotic small subunit ribosomal RNA", at positions 592 to 976 of the family's 1831-position model. The record is from RNAcentral.